Camellia sinensis is the source of this 835-nucleotide non-coding RNA. The record is from RefSeq and is a predicted model, not a curated record. Lineage: Eukaryota; Viridiplantae; Streptophyta; Magnoliopsida; Ericales; Theaceae.
UUGAAUCCUAUUCUUUUAUGUUCACAGUUAUGGUUAUUCCAAAGAAAGAUUUGUUUGGUCCUUCAUAUCUGUUGAUGGUAUCUUUUGUCUUGGUUCUGGUGCUACAAUCGUUCAUAGCAUUCAAAACUUGUGCACUUCUCAGGAUGGUGCUACAGUAACAGGUAUGCUCAUUGCUGCUGCAUCAUUGGUUGCGGUGAAUACCACAGGAAACGCAAUUUAUGAUCUCAUUGGUUCAAUUAUAGUGGGCAACGUUCUUAGAAUGGAAGCCAUGGAGAUGAUGGUUGCUUGCUCUGCAAUGGCUUUAGCAAAAAGGGAACAAUUAAAAGGAGGAGAUAACCAAUCACCAGACAGCUUUUGAUACAAGUGGAAUUGUGGAGGUAUAAUAAGUGCAACUGUAUUAACCGGAGGAACCUUGAUGGCAAUUAUUGGUGGUUUGACAUAUUCAGCUCAGGCUUUUGAAUAUUUUAAAUGCAAUUGGCCAAUAAGCUUCUAAUGACAUGAGUAUUUUUUCCUGAUGAAUUCAUAUUUUAUUGGCAACAGGGUUAACUGCUACAGUUUUUGCCACGGGUUUAGGUGCCUUAGCACAUACAUUGAGCACCCUUGCCCUUGUGAUAGGAGCAAGCGGGUUUGCUAUAAAAACUGUUGUCGGUAGUUUUGGAUAAUCUCUGAAUAGUUUGGAUAUAUUUAGAAACCUAGAUGCAUAGUUUUUGGAUGAUUUAAACUUUUUGGACAGUUUAGAACUUAAAAGUAUAGUUUUUGAAUGUUUGGAAUGUAUAGACAAUUGUUGAAUGUUCAUAAUUUAUGGAUAUAGUUUCCUUUUUAUGCUUGAAACAAU